UAACACAUGCAAGUCGAGGGGCAGCAUUUUCCUUUGCUUGCAAACUGAAGAUGGCGACCGGCGCACGGGUGAGUAACACGUAUCCAACCUGCCGAUAACUCCGGGAUAGCCUUUCGAAAGAAAGAUUAAUACCGGAUAGUAUACGAAUAUCGCAUGAUAUUUUUAUUAAAGAAUUUCGGUUAUCGAUGGGGAUGCGUUCCAUUAGUUUGUUGGCGGGGUAACGGCCCACCAAGACUACGAUGGAUAGGGGUUCUGAGAGGAAGGUCCCCCACAUUGGAACUGAGACACGGUCCAAACUCCUACGGGAGGCAGCAGUGAGGAAUAUUGGUCAAUGGGCGCGAGCCUGAACCAGCCAAGUAGCGUGAAGGAUGAAGGCUCUAUGGGUCGUAAACUUCUUUUAUAUGGGAAUAAAGUUUUCCACGUGUGGAAUUUUGUAUGUACCAUAUGAAUAAGGAUCGGCUAACUCCGUGCCAGCAGCCGCGGUAAUACGGAGGAUCCGAGCGUUAUCCGGAUUUAUUGGGUUUAAAGGGAGCGUAGGUGGAUUGUUAAGUCAGUUGUGAAAGUUUGCGGCUCAACCGUAAAAUUGCAGUUGAAACUGGCAGUCUUGAGUACAGUAGAGGUGGGCGGAAUUCGUGGUGUAGCGGUGAAAUGCUUAGAUAUCACGAAGAACUCCGAUUGCGAAGGCAGCUCACUAGACUGUCACUGACACUGAUGCUCGAAAGUGUGGGUAUCAAACAGGAUUAGAUACCCUGGUAGUCCACACAGUAAACGAUGAAUACUCGCUGUUUGCGAUAUACAGUAAGCGGCCAAGCGAAAGCAUUAAGUAUUCCACCUGGGGAGUACGCCGGCAACGGUGAAACUCAAAGGAAUUGACGGGGGCCCGCACAAGCGGAGGAACAUGUGGUUUAAUUCGAUGAUACGCGAGGAACCUUACCCGGGCUUAAAUUGCAACAGAAUAUAUUGGAAACAGUAUAGCCGUAAGGCUGUUGUGAAGGUGCUGCAUGGUUGUCGUCAGCUCGUGCCGUGAGGUGUCGGCUUAAGUGCCAUAACGAGCGCAACCCUUAUCUUUAGUUACUAACAGGUUAUGCUGAGGACUCUAGAGAGACUGCCGUCGUAAGAUGUGAGGAAGGUGGGGAUGACGUCAAAUCAGCACGGCCCUUACGUCCGGGGCUACACACGUGUUACAAUGGGGGGUACAGAAGGCGGCUACCUGGUGACAGGAUGCUAAUCCCAAAAACCUCUCUCAGUUCGGAUCGAAGUCUGCAACCCGACUUCGUGAAGCUGGAUUCGCUAGUAAUCGCGCAUCAGCCAUGGCGCGGUGAAUACGUUCCCGGGCCUUGUACACACCGCCCGUCAAGCCAUGAAAGCCGGGGGUACCUGAAGUACGUAACCGCAAGGAGCGUCCUAGGGUAAAACUGGUAAUUGGGGCUAAA
RNAcentral lists this ribosomal RNA (1433 nucleotides) under uncultured organism. RNAcentral describes it as "SSU rRNA". It matches the Rfam family "Bacterial small subunit ribosomal RNA". The record is from RNAcentral.